CGUCCUAUUAGCUAGUUGGUGAGGUAAUGGCUCACCAAGGAUACGAUGGGUAGGGGUUCUUAGUGGAAGGUCCCCCCCACUGGCAUUGAGAUACGGGCCAGACUCCUACGGGAGGCAGCAGUAGGGAAUAUUGGUCAAUGGGCGCAAGCCUGAACCAGCCAUGCCGCGUGCAGGAAGAAGGCUCUUUGAGUUGUAAACUGCUUUUGUACAGGAGCAAAAAAAUCCCUGCGGGGGUUCUUGAGAGUACUGUAAGAAUAAGCACCGGCUAAUUCCGUGCCAGCAGCCGCGGUAAUACGGGAGGUGCAAGCGUUAUCCGGUUUUAUUGGGUUUAAAGGGUGCGUAGGCGGCUUAUUAAGUCAGUUGUGAAAUCCUAGUGCUUAACGCUAGAACUGCGAUUGAUACUAUU
Molecule: ribosomal RNA, 406 nt
Filed under: Cardinium endosymbiont of Bemisia tabaci
Lineage: Bacteria; Pseudomonadati; Bacteroidota; Cytophagia; Cytophagales; Amoebophilaceae
Description: bacterial SSU rRNA
Rfam family: Bacterial small subunit ribosomal RNA
Source: RNAcentral